Molecule: ribosomal RNA, 390 nt
Filed under: Triticum aestivum (bread wheat)
Lineage: Eukaryota; Viridiplantae; Streptophyta; Magnoliopsida; Poales; Poaceae
Description: partial small subunit ribosomal RNA
Source: RNAcentral
GCAUUCACUUUAAAUAGGGUUCCAUCGAAAUCCGUUGAGACGACACCGUAUGAAUUAUGGUUUGGGAAGAAACCUAAGCUGUCGUUUCUAAAAGUUUGGGGAUGCGAUGCUUAUGUCAAGAAACUUCAACCUGAAAAGCUCGAACCCAAGUCGGAAAAAUGCGUCUUCAUAGGAUACCCUAAGGAAACCAUUGGGUAUACCUUCUACCUCAGAUCCGUAGGCAAGAUCUUUGUUGCCAAGAACGGGUCCUUUCUGGAGAAAGAGUUUCUCUCGAAAGAAGUAAGUGGGAGGAAAGUGGAACUUGAUGAAGUACUAUCUCUUGAACCGGAAAGUAGCGCAGCUCAGGAGGAUGUUCCUGUGGUGCCUGCACCGACUAGAGAGGAAGUUAAU